RNAcentral lists this ribosomal RNA (578 nucleotides) under uncultured bacterium. RNAcentral describes it as "bacterial SSU rRNA". It matches the Rfam family "Bacterial small subunit ribosomal RNA", at positions 338 to 916 of the family's 1533-position model. The record is from RNAcentral.
CCUACGGGAGGCAGCAGUAAGGAAUAUUGGGCAAUGGACGCAAGUCUGACCCAGCCAUGCCGCGUGCAGGAUGACUGCCCUAUGGGUUGUAAACUGCUUUUAUACGGGAAAAAAAUGUCCGACGUGUCGGAAGCUGAUGGUACCGUAUGAAUAAGCAUCGGCUAACUCCGUGCCAGCAGCCGCGGCAAUACGGAGGAUGCAAGCGUUAUCCGGAUUUAUUGGGUUUAAAGGGUGCGCAGGCGGAAUGAUAAGUCAGUGGUGAAAGCUUUCGGCUUAACCGGAAAAUUGCCAUUGAUACUAUUGUUCUUGAGUACAGUUGAGGUAGGCGGAAUGUGUCAUGUAGCGGUGAAAUGCUUAGAUAUGACACAGAACACCGAUAGCGAAGGCAGCUUACCAAAUUGAAACUGACGCUCAUGCACGAAAGCGUGGGGAUCAAACAGGAUUAGAUACCCUGGUAGUCCACGCUGUAAACGAUGAUCACUCGCUGUUGGCGAUACACAGUCAGCGGCUAAGCGAAAGCAUUAAGUGAUCCACCUGGGGAGUACGGCGGCAACGUUGAAACUCAAAUGAAUUGACGG